GGGGCCGUGAGGUAACCUGGUAUCCUGCGGGCUUCGGGAGCCCGUUAUCUGUGUUCGAAUCUUUUUGGAUGGCCU
This 75-nucleotide transfer RNA is filed under the name Microcaldota archaeon. RNAcentral describes it as "Candidatus Micrarchaeota archaeon (hot springs metagenome) tRNA-Pro". Lineage: Archaea; Nanobdellati; Microcaldota. The record is from RNAcentral.